Molecule: transfer RNA, 87 nt
Filed under: Robiginitomaculum sp.
Lineage: Bacteria; Pseudomonadati; Pseudomonadota; Alphaproteobacteria; Maricaulales; Robiginitomaculaceae
Also listed under: 1 other name
Description: tRNA-Leu
Rfam family: tRNA
About the family: Transfer RNA (tRNA) molecules are approximately 80 nucleotides in length.
Source: RNAcentral
GCGGGCGUGGCGGAAUCGGUAGACGCACAGGACUUAAAAUCCUGGGAUCGCAAGAUCGUGGGGGUUCAAGUCCCCCCGCCCGCACCA